Molecule: ribosomal RNA, 492 nt
Filed under: uncultured bacterium
Lineage: Bacteria
Description: partial 16S ribosomal RNA
Rfam family: Bacterial small subunit ribosomal RNA
Source: RNAcentral
AGUGAACGCUGGCGGUAGGCCUAACACAUGCAAGUCGAACGGCAGCACAGUAAGAGCUUGCUCUUACGGGUGGCGAGUGGCGGACGGGUGAGGAAUACAUCGGAAUCUACUUUUUCGUGGGGGAUAACGUAGGGAAACUUACGCUAAUACCGCAUACGACCUACGGGUGAAAGCAGGGGAUCUUCGGACCUUGCGCGAUUGAAUGAGCCGAUGUCGGAUUAGCUAGAUGGCGGGGUAAAGGCCCACCAAGGCGACGAUCCGUAGCUGGUCUGAGAGGAUGAUCAGCCACACUGGAACUGAGACACGGUCCAGACUCCUACGGGAGGCAGCAGUGGGGAAUAUUGGACAAUGGGCGCAAGCCUGAUCCAGCCAUACCGCGUGGGUGAAGAAGGCCUUCGGGUUGUAAAGCCCUUUUGUCGGGAAAGAAAAGCAGCAGGUUAAUACCCCGCUGUUCUGACGGUACCCAAAGAAUAAGCACCGGCUAACUUCGUG